RNAcentral lists this ribosomal RNA (442 nucleotides) under uncultured bacterium. RNAcentral's name for it is "partial 16S ribosomal RNA". It matches the Rfam family "Bacterial small subunit ribosomal RNA", at positions 338 to 795 of the family's 1533-position model. The record is from RNAcentral.
CCUACGGGCGGCAGCAGUAGGGAAUCUUUCACAAUGGGCGAAAGCCUGAUGGAGCAACGCCGCGUGCAGGAUGAAGGCCUUCGGGUUGUAAACUGCUUUUAUAAGCGAGAAAUAUGAUGGUAACUUAUGAAUAAGGAUCGGCUAACUACGUGCCAGCAGCCGCGGUCAUACGUAGGAUCCGAGCAUUAUCCGGAGUUACUGGGUGUAAAGAGUUGCGUAGAUGGAAUAAUAAGUAGCUAGGGAAAUCUGGUGGCGCAACCAUUCAGACUAUUAGCUAAACUGUUAAGCUCGAGAACGUUAGGGGUAACUGGAAUUUCUAGUGUAGGAGUGAAAUCCGUAGAUAUUAGAAAGAACACCGAUAGCGUAGGCAGGUUACUGGGACGGUUCUGACACUAAGGCACGAAAGCGUAGGGAGCAAACGGGAUUAGAUACCCGUGUAGUC